CCUACGGGUGGCAGCAGUGGGGAAUAUUGGGCAAUGGGCGCAAGCCUGACCCAGCAACGCCGCGUGAAGGAAGAAGGCUUUCGGGUUGUAAACUUCUUUUGACAGGGAAGAGUAGAAGACGGUACCUGUCGAAUAAGCCAAGGCUAACUACGUUCCAGCAGCCGCGGGUAUUCGUAGGGUGCAAGCGUUAUCCGGAUUUACUGGGUGUAAAGGGAGGGGAGGCGGCACGGCAAGCCGGAUGUGAAAGCCCGGGGCCCAACCGCGGGACUGCAUUUGGAACCAGCGGUCUGGAGUGCCGGAGAGGUAAGCGGAAUUCCGGGUGUAGCGGUGAAAUGCGUAGAUAUUAGGAGGAACACCAGUGGCGAAGGCGGCCUACUGGACGGUAACUGACGCUGAGGCUCGAAAGCGUGGGGAGCAAACAGGAUUAGAUACCCGUGUAGUC
RNAcentral lists this ribosomal RNA (442 nucleotides) under uncultured bacterium. RNAcentral describes it as "partial 16S ribosomal RNA". It matches the Rfam family "Bacterial small subunit ribosomal RNA", at positions 338 to 795 of the family's 1533-position model. The record is from RNAcentral.